Molecule: ribosomal RNA, 447 nt
Filed under: uncultured bacterium
Lineage: Bacteria
Description: partial 16S ribosomal RNA
Rfam family: Bacterial small subunit ribosomal RNA
Source: RNAcentral
GCCAGACUCCUACGGGAGGCAGCAGUGGGGGAUAUUGCACAAUGGGGGGAACCCUGAUGCAGCGACGCCGCGUGGGUGAAGGAGCGUUUCGGCGCGUAAAGCCCUCUCGGCAGGGAAGAAGGAGGACGGUACCUGACUAAGAAGCCCCGGCUAACUACGUGCCAGCAGCCGCGGUAAUACGUAGGGGGCAAGCGUUAUCCGGAUUUACUGGGUGUAAAGGGGGCGCAGACGGCAGCGCAAGCCAGGAGUGAAAGCCCGGGGCCCAACCCCGGGACUGCUCUUGGAACUGCGCGGCUGGAGUGCAGGAGGGGCAGGCGGAAUUCCUGGUGUAGCGGUGAAAUGCGUAGAUAUCAGGAGGAACACCGGUGGCGAAGGCGGCCUGCUGGACUGCGACUGACGUUGAGGCCCGAAAGCGUGGGGAGCAAACAGGAUUAGAUACCCCCGUAU